GUAAUCUGCGAAUCGGGAACCGGAAGUGGAUCCUUGUCCCAUGCAAUUGCACUGACCGUUGCACCAACCGGACAUCUGUAUACACAUGAUAUCGACGAAACACGUACUCAUAAAGUUUUGGAGGAAUUUAAGGUUAUUUGAGCAAAAAAAAAAUUUUGAAAAAAAAUUUCGCAAAAUUUUUUUUUUUUUGGAAAAUUAAUUUCAAACAUUUCCAGGUUCAUGGCCUAGGAUCCGUGACGACGGCCGUCGUUCGAAAUGUCUGCACCUCUGGAUUCCACGUGGAAAACGCUGCCGACGGGGUAUUCCUGGAUGUACCGGCACCGUGGGAGGCAAUCCCAUUCGCCGCAAAAUCAAUUUUCCGGGCUCGUGGAGGUCGUCUAGUGUCUUUUAGGUAGCUAUCAGUGGAAAAAUUGAGCCUGAUUAAGACUAAAUGGGCCUGGGACCCGAAAUAUUGCCGAAAAAUUUCGCUUUUUUUUUUAGCUUUUUCGGUUUUUUUUUCCAGUGAAAAUCGGAUAAAAAUUGGAAAAUUAACACAAAUUUCAAACUUUUAUCAAAUUUUGUUCGUAACAAUAAAUAGAAAAGGGAAACAAAAGUUUUUUUUGGAAUAUCGAAAAUUCAAAAAUUUCGAUUUUUCGAGGUGCUUAAAAAAAUUUUUUUGAAUUUUUUUGUAAAAAACUGAACAUUUUGGUCAUUUUUGUUAAUUUCCAAUUUUCUGCAAGAAAACAGAAAAAAACGAAAAAUUUUGAUUUUGUGAAAAAAACUGGAAAUUUUGGCAAUUUUCAUAAAAUUUUAAUUCAAAAAAAUUGUUUUUUUUUACUUUUUCGUUUAUCUCAGAAAAAACCGAAAAAUUUUACAUUUUCCGGCGACUCCCUGCAAAAAUUGAACCCGAAACCCUCGUUUUCAGCCAAUUUCCCCAAUUUUUGCUCCAAACCCCCGAUUUUUCUUACAGUCCGUGCCUGGAACAAGUCCAACGUGCCUGCCUAGCCAUGGCGGCCGCCGGUUUCGUGAGCAUCGAGACGAUUGAGCUCGUUCCCGAGCAGAAGAAGAUCGUCAGUCAACACCGGCAGACGCUUGAAGAGUUUGAAGAGCUCGGUGAUGCUUAUCCGAAGGAACGGAAGAGAAAUGUCGAUGGAACAAUCGUUGAGCAAAGG
This 1151-nucleotide small RNA is filed under the name Caenorhabditis elegans. RNAcentral describes it as "Unclassified non-coding RNA W02A11.9". Lineage: Eukaryota; Metazoa; Nematoda; Chromadorea; Rhabditida; Rhabditidae. The record is from RNAcentral.